UAGCUCAGUGGUAGAGCACUUGCCUCGAAGGUGUGAGGCCCUGAGUUCGAUCCUCAG
This 57-nucleotide transfer RNA is filed under the name Marmota marmota marmota (Alpine marmot). It matches the Rfam family "tRNA", at positions 8 to 63 of the family's 71-position model. Rfam says of the family: Transfer RNA (tRNA) molecules are approximately 80 nucleotides in length. Their secondary structure includes four short double-helical elements and three loops (D, anti-codon, and T loops). RNAcentral also lists the same sequence under 1 other name. The record is from Rfam by way of RNAcentral. Lineage: Eukaryota; Metazoa; Chordata; Mammalia; Rodentia; Sciuridae.